GGGGGCAAAACAAUUGCAUGAGUGCUGCUGUUGGACUGAGGAAGAAUAAAGUAGUCCUGCCAAAGCAACAGCCCACCUUUUCAGGCUUUGACUUUUCCACCUCCUCGUCGGUCUUUCCCAGUGCAGCAGCCAGAGCUGGAUCAAGCAGCCAGCAGCCAGACGCCUCCUGCAGGGAGACUAACUGCAGCAAAGGGUCUCUGGGUGGCUGUUCGGGCACAGCAGCUGGAAAAUCUAAGA
Oreochromis niloticus (Nile tilapia) is the source of this 237-nucleotide long non-coding RNA. RefSeq lists it as uncharacterized. Lineage: Eukaryota; Metazoa; Chordata; Actinopteri; Cichliformes; Cichlidae. The record is from RefSeq and is a predicted model, not a curated record. The transcript has 2 exons.